Molecule: long non-coding RNA, 1118 nt
Filed under: Papio anubis (olive baboon)
Lineage: Eukaryota; Metazoa; Chordata; Mammalia; Primates; Cercopithecidae
Description: lncRNA (ENSPANG00000037741.1)
Source: RNAcentral
GAUGUAUUUUGGCAUAGAUUCACUAGCAGUUAUGAACCCCAGAACCAAAUGGGGACAUAUCUCUUUAAAUAUUCAAUUCAGCUUGACCUGGAGCAGCCAUCUUAGCAUUAUAAGGAUACCACUGUUCUAGCAGAGCUCAGUAAUCCAGAGACUAUCUCAGAUUCUGUGGGUAAUUGAGAUUAUAACCAAAUUCCAUCAAGAGGAAAUUAGUUGAUUGGUUGUCUUCAGCCUCUGGCUUCAGUGGGUAGGUGUUGGCUGUUGAAAAUGGUGCUGCUUUCUCACUGUGCCCUGCUGAGAUUCCACAGGUGUAGGUCUGAGUAGGGAGAGGAAGACUUCUUAGCCUCAGCCAUGGUUACCCCUUGCCAGCAGACAGUGGGCCCAAUAUCAUGCAGCCACGUACAGACACCCACUCUAAACACAUAGGUGCUCAUACAGCUUACUUAUUUAUUUUCUUUUUGUGGCAAACCCACUGUGUCAAGGUGGUUGGUUCAGGAAAGUUUUCCAUGGAAGAAAACUGUGCCUAAGAAAACCCAGGCCUAAUCUGCAGCCUGACUCCAUAGUCCAGAAUCUAUUCUUUGUGACAUAACUAAGAACUCCAAAGGUGAGCCAACAAACCAAGUGAAAGACAUCAAAUAAUUGCAUCACUAUUUCCCUUGAGGGAUUUUGUCCUAAAGACUAAGAAAACCCUCUUAAAUUAGCUCUAAUUAAAUGUUGUGAAUCUGUGGUUCCACCAUUCAGAAAAUGGAUUGCCUCAUUGUGUUUUUUCCAUGUUACUAAGAGAGAGAUUGGGAUUCUUUAAAGGAAGAUUAAAAGCAUGGAAGGGACAAAAGGAAACAGUGAAAACAGAAAAAAAACUUGGCAAAGAGAACCCGAACUGGAUUUCAGCCCUGACUUCUGCCUGCUCAUCUGGACAGUUUCGUCCAAGGAAAUGUGAGAUCUCUUCGGCCAAGAAGAACAACCUGAGGACUCUAUUUCUGGAGCAUUUGACUCUUGGUCCUUGUGAGCUCCUUGUUCCUGCAAAGUUGGCUGGGGUCACCAUAGUCGGUCAAAAAAAUCCAUCAAUGACAGAGAUAGGGAAUCUCCAAUCUCUAUCCCAAGAUGUGUUCUCGAUGACUUAA